UCCCUUGUAGCUCAGAUGGUAAAGGAUCUGCCUGCAAUGCAGGAGACCAGGGUUCGAUCCCUGGGUGGGAA
This 71-nucleotide transfer RNA is filed under the name Bos taurus (domestic cattle). It matches the Rfam family "tRNA". From Rfam's summary of the family: Transfer RNA (tRNA) molecules are approximately 80 nucleotides in length. Their secondary structure includes four short double-helical elements and three loops (D, anti-codon, and T loops). RNAcentral also lists the same sequence under 1 other name. The record is from Rfam by way of RNAcentral. Lineage: Eukaryota; Metazoa; Chordata; Mammalia; Artiodactyla; Bovidae.